This 461-nucleotide ribosomal RNA is filed under the name uncultured bacterium. RNAcentral describes it as "partial 16S ribosomal RNA". It matches the Rfam family "Bacterial small subunit ribosomal RNA", at positions 338 to 795 of the family's 1533-position model. The record is from RNAcentral.
CCUACGGGUGGCAGCAGUGAGGAAUAUUGGUCAAUGGGCUUACGCCUGAACCAGCCAAGUCGCGUGAGGGAAGACUGUCCUAUGGGUUGUAAACCUCUUUUGUCAGGGAGCAACGCCGGCUACGUGUAGCCGGACUGAGAGUACCUGAAGAAAAAGCAUCGGCUAACUCCGUGCCAGCAGCCGCGGUAAUACGGAGGAUGCGAGCGUUAUCCGGAUUUAUUGGGUUUAAAGGGUGCGUAGACGGUGCAGCAAGUCUGAUGUGAAAGGUCGGGGCCCAACCCCGGGACUGCAUUGGAAACUGGUGAACUGGAGUACAGGAGAGGUAAGCGGAAUUCCGAGUGUAGCGGGGAAAUGCGUAGAUAGUAGGAGGAACACCAGUGGCGAGGGCGGCUUACUGGACUGUAACGGACGUGGAGGCUCGAAAGCGUGGGGAGCAAACAGGAGUAGAGACCCGUGUAGUC